RNAcentral lists this transfer-messenger RNA (310 nucleotides) under Candidatus Cryosericum odellii. RNAcentral's name for it is "partial transfer-messenger RNA". It matches the Rfam family "transfer-messenger RNA", at positions 1 to 329 of the family's 374-position model. Rfam says of the family: Bacterial tmRNA, also known as 10Sa RNA or SsrA, is named for its dual tRNA and mRNA-like properties. Its role is to liberate the mRNA from a stalled ribosome. Lineage: Bacteria; Pseudomonadati; Candidatus Cryosericota; Candidatus Cryosericia; Candidatus Cryosericales; Candidatus Cryosericaceae. The record is from RNAcentral.
GGGGGUGCUGGGGUUCGACAGAUACGUGAGGUGCAGGGUUGCAGGUAGAGGACGACAGUUGGCCUCUUUAAACAUCUGUCACAAAAAAACAAGCCAAUAACAAUUACGCUCUAGCUGCCUAAGCGCGGCUAGCGUCUCUCCGGACCGUCCAUCCCUGGGUCCGUCAGGGGCGCGUCUAUAGGGGUCUCGAAGGCGAGGGUCGUUCCCGUUCCUUGCCAGAGAGUACCAAACGGGAAAUCGUGCAGAGCGGGGCGUCGACUCCCGGCCGAGCGCAAGGUACAACAGCCGACUAAACCUGUAGUAGCGCUGU